UCACAUCUUACGACGGCAGUCUCUCCAGAGUCCUCAGCAUGACCUGUUAGUAACUGAAGAUAAGGGUUGCGCUCGUUAUGGCACUUAAGCCGACACCUCACGGCACGAGCUGACGACAACCAUGCAGCACCUUCACACCUGCCUUACGGCUAACAUGUUUCCACAUUAUUCAGGUGCAAUUUAAGCCCGGGUAAGGUUCCUCGCGUAUCAUCGAAUUAAACCACAUGUUCCUCCGCUUGUGCGGGCCCCCGUCAAUUCCUUUGAGUUUCACCGUUGCCGGCGUACUCCCCAGGUGGAAUACUUAAUGCUUUCGCUUGGCCGCUUGCUGUAUAUCGCAAACAGCGAGUAUUCAUCGUUUACUGUGUGGACUAC
RNAcentral lists this unclassified non-coding RNA (372 nucleotides) under uncultured Bacteroidaceae bacterium. RNAcentral's name for it is "contains 16S-23S intergenic spacer region". The record is from RNAcentral. Lineage: Bacteria; Pseudomonadati; Bacteroidota; Bacteroidia; Bacteroidales; Bacteroidaceae.